This 115-nucleotide ribosomal RNA is filed under the name Klebsiella oxytoca. Lineage: Bacteria; Pseudomonadati; Pseudomonadota; Gammaproteobacteria; Enterobacterales; Enterobacteriaceae. The record is from RNAcentral.
UGGCAACGAUAGCGCGGUGGUCCCACCUGACCCCAUGCCGAACUCAGAAGUGAAACGCCGUAGCGCCGAUGGUAGUGUGGGGUCUCCCCAUGUGAGAGUAGGGAACUGCCAGGCA